This 450-nucleotide ribosomal RNA is filed under the name uncultured organism. Its description in RNAcentral is "partial 16S ribosomal RNA". It matches the Rfam family "Bacterial small subunit ribosomal RNA", at positions 330 to 797 of the family's 1533-position model. The record is from RNAcentral.
CGUACACUCCUACGGGAGGCAGCAGUGGGGAAUAUUGGACAAUGGGCGCAAGCCUGAUCCAGCCAUGCCGCGUGAGUGAUGAAGGCCCUAGGGUUGUAAAGCUCUUUCACCGGUGAAGAUAAUGACGGUAACCGGAGAAGAAGCCCCGGCUAACUUCGUGCCAGCAGCCGCGGUAAUACGAAGGGGGCUAGCGUUGUUCGGAUUUACUGGGCGUAAAGCGCACGUAGGCGGACUAUUAAGUCAGGGGUGAAAUCCCGGGGCUCAACCCCGGAACUGCCUUUGAUACUGGUAGUCUUGAGUUCGGGAGAGGUGAGUGGAAUUCCGAGUGUAGAGGUGAAAUUCGUAGAUAUUCGGAGGAACACCAGUGGCGAAGGCGGCUCACUGGCUCGAUACUGACGCUGAGGUGCGAAAGCGUGGGGAGCAAACAGGAUUAGAUACCCGUGUAGUCCC